Molecule: ribosomal RNA, 190 nt
Filed under: uncultured Lactobacillus sp.
Lineage: Bacteria; Bacillati; Bacillota; Bacilli; Lactobacillales; Lactobacillaceae
Description: partial 16S ribosomal RNA
Rfam family: Bacterial small subunit ribosomal RNA
Source: RNAcentral
CCUACGGGAGGCAGCAGUAGGGAAUCUUCCACAAUGGACGAAAGUCUGAUGGAGCAACGCCGCGUGAGUGAAGAAGGGUUUCGGCUCGUAAAACUCUGUUGUUAAAGAAGAACAUAUCUGAGAGUAACUGUUCAGGUAUUGACGGUAUUUAACCAGAAAGCCACGGCUAACUACGUGCCAGCAGCCGCGG